AGCACUUAUGUCUUUGUACCUUUUGUGUUGGUACAGACUUAAAACUAGUGCUGAUAAUAAACCCUUCUCUUGCAACCCACAACAAAUUGUCUUGUAUGAGUUGUGUUACUUAUGGGAAGGGACAAU
Molecule: non-coding RNA, 126 nt
Organism: Pelobates cultripes (western spadefoot toad)
Lineage: Eukaryota; Metazoa; Chordata; Amphibia; Anura; Pelobatidae
Source: the annotation of a GenBank genome assembly